UGGUGUGGAGUCUUCAUAAAGCUAGAUAACCGAAAGUAAAAAUAACCCCAUACACUGCGCAGAGGGGCCCCUGGAAAGCUGGCGGCACGGGCGGGCGGGAGGCCUAAGGGAGGGGCUAAAGCCGUGAGGACCCACGGGCCGUGGGAGGCGAGAAGAGGACCCGGCGGCCCUCGGGCCUCAAGACCGCACCGGCUGGGGCGUCUUUCCACCCUCCAACUUCGGUCCGCGCAGGAAAUUUCAUGAUCUUGCUUAUUCCUGUCUUGGAAAAUCCUUUCCAAUGUCUAACCAAGAUCUGUACUGCUGAAGUACCAGUUCUUUGACCUAUGGCUUGACAUGGCUGAUUUGAGAGGUACAGCUUCCCACCACCCAGGAAGGAAGGAACUGGCCUGGAUUUUGGCAACCUCUUGCUUGUACCAAAAAGAAGAACCUACUUCAUCCAGUUGGCUUCAGUGCCCUGUGAGAAGCCUUCCUGAUUGACGGAAAGAUGAGACUAAAUUCUAGCAAGUUGAGUGGCUCCUUCAAGAAGCCUGUGUGCAGGGUAGAAGUGGAGAGGCCAUAGCCUCCAGCCUGGGCAGCCCAUUGGCACCUGGAGCCACCUCAACUUUGCCUCCCCUUUGCUCCUGUGUCUAUAAGCUGCCCAGCCCAGCCCGUCCUGGUUUCUCCUGUGUCUUCUGAGCUGAGAUUUCUCUGAGAUGGAAGCCCCAUCCCAUGUCUAAUAAAGACUCUUGAAUACUGAA
RNAcentral lists this long non-coding RNA (737 nucleotides) under Bos taurus (domestic cattle). RNAcentral's name for it is "long non-coding RNA NONBTAT017894". Lineage: Eukaryota; Metazoa; Chordata; Mammalia; Artiodactyla; Bovidae. The record is from RNAcentral.